GACCUGCGCAGCUGGGCGACGCAUGCGUGUGGCACGAGGUGUCCUGGGGCGCGCGGGGUUAUUUCCGGUGUGCGCUACCUGUGAAGCGAGAGCAGCCCUGCCAGUGCUCCCUGGCCUCCCCUUCCAGACACCCUGAGCUACUUCCUGCCUUCUCCCCCAGCCUCCUAGAGCUGAGGGUGGGAAUUCUGAAGCCCAAGGACAGAGUCCUGACUCAGAACCGUGUCCUUGACCAAGAGGAAGUUGGGUGAGACCCUAAGGCAACAUGGCUCCAAGGCCUGGGUCCCAGAACAGUCAC
Molecule: long non-coding RNA, 295 nt
Filed under: Fukomys damarensis (Damara mole-rat)
Lineage: Eukaryota; Metazoa; Chordata; Mammalia; Rodentia; Bathyergidae
Description: lncRNA (ENSFDAG00000031294.1)
Source: RNAcentral